Onychomys torridus (southern grasshopper mouse) is the source of this 133-nucleotide small nucleolar RNA. RefSeq annotates it as small nucleolar RNA SNORA55. The record is from RefSeq and is a predicted model, not a curated record. NCBI's taxonomy places the organism in Eukaryota, Metazoa, Chordata, Mammalia, Rodentia, Cricetidae. The transcript has a single exon.
ACAUCAAGAACCCCAGUCAGCUGGGUGUGCUGGUACUGGUCUGGGGACAGAAGGUGCGAGAGCAGAGAGAGGAUACCUAGAUGUGUCAUUUUCCAUUUGUCUUGGGGCCUGUCUCUACAGCUCUGCCACACUU